Small nuclear RNA from Sarcophilus harrisii (Tasmanian devil), 124 nucleotides. NCBI's taxonomy places the organism in Eukaryota, Metazoa, Chordata, Mammalia, Dasyuromorphia, Dasyuridae. The record is from Ensembl.
UAUAUAUGUGAAAGAAGUAAAGGCUAGCAGCCCUCUUAAUAAGGAUGGAAAUGGUCCUAGAAAUCUUUAAAAUUUUUAUAUGUUAAGGCUUUGCUACCUAAUCUAUGUCAUCUAACCAUUCUAU